CGCAAUGGGCGCAAGCCUGACGGAGCAACGCCGCGUGAGGGAUGAAGGCCUCUGGGCUGUAAACCUCUUUUAUCAAGGAAGAAGAUCUGACGGUACUUGAUGAAUAAGCCACGGCUAAUUCCGUGCCAGCAGCCGCGGUAAUACGGGAGUGGCAAGCGUUAUCCGGAAUUAUUGGGCGUAAAGCGUCCGCAGGCGGUUUUACAAGUCUGUCGUUAAAACGUGGAGCUCAACUCCAUUUCGGCGAUGGAAACUGUAAGACUAGAGUGUGGUAGGGGCAGAGGGAAUUCCCGGUGUAGCGGUGAAAUGCGUAGAUAUCGGGAAGAACACCAGUGGCGAAGGCGCUCUGCUGGGCCAUAACUGACGCUCAUGGACGAAAGCCAGGGGAGCGAAAGGGAUUAGAUACCCCUGUAGUCCUGGCCGUAAACGAUGAACACUAGGUGUCGGGGGAAUCGACCCCCUCGGUGUCGUAGCCAACGCGUUAAGUGUUCCGCCUGGGGAGUACGCACGCAAGUGUGAAACUCAAAGGAAUUGACGGGGGCCCGCACAAGCGGUGGAGUAUGUGGUUUAAUUCGAUGCAACGCGAAGAACCUUACCAGGGUUUGACAUCCUGCGAAUUCCUUGGAAACUUGGAAGUGCCUUCGGGAGCGCAGUGACAGGUGGUGCAUGGCU
Molecule: ribosomal RNA, 669 nt
Filed under: uncultured cyanobacterium
Lineage: Bacteria; Bacillati; Cyanobacteriota
Description: bacterial SSU rRNA
Rfam family: Bacterial small subunit ribosomal RNA
Source: RNAcentral